This 517-nucleotide ribosomal RNA is filed under the name Kosakonia sacchari. RNAcentral's name for it is "bacterial SSU rRNA". It matches the Rfam family "Bacterial small subunit ribosomal RNA", at positions 829 to 1348 of the family's 1533-position model. Lineage: Bacteria; Pseudomonadati; Pseudomonadota; Gammaproteobacteria; Enterobacterales; Enterobacteriaceae. The record is from RNAcentral.
GCCCCUAAGCCGGAGUUUCGGGAGUUAACCCGUUAAGUCGCCCCCUGGGGGGGUCGGUCCGCAAGGUAAAACCAAAAUGAAUUACCGGGGGCCCGCCCAAGCGGGGGAGAAUGGGGUUUAUUUCGAUGCAACGGGAAGACCUUUACCGGGUYUUGCCAUCCACAGACCUUUGCAGAGAUGGAUUGGUGCCUUCGGGGACUGUGAGACCAGGCUGCAAGGCUGUCGUCAACUCGGGUUGUGAAAUGUUGGGUUAAGUCCCGCAACGAGCGGCACCCUUAUCCUUUAUGCCCAUCGUCCGGCCGGGCACUCAAAGGAGACUGCCAGUGAUAAACUGGAGGAAGGUGGGGAUGACGUCAAGUCAUCAUGCCCCUUACGACCAGGGCUACACACGUGCUACAAUGGCGCAUACAAAGAGAAGCGACCUCGCGAGAGCAAGCGGACCUCAUAAAGUGCGUCGUAGUCCGGAUUGGAGUCUGCAACUCGACUCCAGAAGUCGGAAUCGUUUAGGAAAUCCGGA